GCCAGCUUGACUGCGAGCGUGACGGCGCGAGCAGGUGCGAAAGCAGGUCAUAGUGAUCCGGUGGUUCUGAAUGGAAGGGCCAUCGCUCAACGGAUAAAAGGUACUCCGGGGAUAACAGGCUGAUACCGCCCAAGAGUUCAUAUCGACGGCGGUGUUUGGCACCUCGAUGUCGGCUCAUCACAUCCUGGGGCUGAAGUAGGUCCCAAGGGUAUGGCUGUUCGCCAUUUAAAGUGGUACGCGAGCUGGGUUUAGAACGUCGUGAGACAGUUCGGUCCCUAUCUGCCGUGGGCGCUGGAGAACUGAGGGGGGCUGCUCCUAGUACGAGAGGACCGGAGUGGACGCAUCACUGGUGUUCGGGUUGUCAUGCCAAUGGCACUGCCCGGUAGCUAAAUGCGGAAGAGAUAAGUGCUGAAAGCAUCUAAGCACGAAACUUGCCCCGAGAUGAGUUCUCCCUGACUCCUUGAGAGUCCUGAAGGAACGUUGAAGACGACGACGUUGAUAGGCCGGGUGUGUAAGCGCAGCGAUGCGUUGAGCUAACCGGUACUAAUGAACCGUGAGG
Molecule: ribosomal RNA, 559 nt
Filed under: Escherichia coli
Lineage: Bacteria; Pseudomonadati; Pseudomonadota; Gammaproteobacteria; Enterobacterales; Enterobacteriaceae
Description: partial 23S ribosomal RNA
Rfam family: Bacterial large subunit ribosomal RNA
Source: RNAcentral